AACUACUAAUUCCAUAGGUUUUGGAUUUUUACCAAUAACCUAUUAAUACUAUUUUCUAAUUUAGAAUAUUUAAUAUUUUAUAUAACGGGCAUUAAGGACAGUUUUUAGGUGGCUUUCUGCAUGUAGAUAGGAGGGGCUUCUUUGUAAAUUAGGUUUGUUUUUCUCCUUCAUUUGAAGCAAACUAACACUAACAAACUGGACUCAUUUCACCCGAUUGCAGUUUGGUGAAGUUGUCAGAUAAAUGCUUGUUGGCUUUUGUUUUCAGCUUUAGGCACAAUCAAGAUUGUGAUUCAUUUUUAUAGUCAGGAAGACAAGCAAAAAAAGAUAUACAAGUCAUUGAUAAUUGUCUUUGAAAUGAGAUUUUCCUUCCCAUAAUUAUUUGGAAGAUUUGCUACCCUGAACUUUCCUAGAAUAGUUUAAAGUUAAUUCAACACUGAGUGUCAGUGAAGAAAAAGAGUGUCGGUGUCUGGAAAGAGCAGACAUAGAACAAUAGAGUAUUUCAGCUCAUUAAAAGUUACCUAAGUAGGCCAGGAGGGUGGUGCACAGCUUUCAUUGCAGUACUGAAGAGGUAGAGGCAGGCAGAUCUCUGUAAAUUCCAGGCCAGCCAGGACUACAUAGUGAGUUCUAGGCCAGCCAGGGCUACGCAGUGAGACCUUGUCUCCAAAAAUACAACACUCAACAACAGAAUUUUAGCCAAAUAGCAUGAACUAAAUGGAAAGCAGUGAAAAAUAUAAUUAUAGAGUAUUAAUUUCAAGUGUAUAUAAUCGCUGCAGAUUUUUAGUGGAUCAAUAUUAUAUUGGCACAUUAAAUUCCUUUAAACAUAUAAGAAAGAUGUACUAAGAGGGUAAAAUAUUUCCAUUUUAUUUUUACACUCUGAAUUUGCUUGAUAAGGGAUUUUCUUUCCUGGAGAAAUGGAAAGACAAUUUUUAUCCCUUCUUGAAUUUUUAAGUGUCAAGUUAUUAAGGCUGAGUGCAUUUUACUUCUCUCAGUAUAUUCUGUUCUUUCACUGAGAGGGAGAAAAGUGGGACAGGUUUAAGUACUUGGAAAUAGGAUAAUAUUUUUUAUAAUAUGGAAAAACUUACACUGUAAAAUGAACCGGCAUGUGCUUUCAUGUAGACAUUAGCUAAGUCAUCUCUCUGAAUUCUUCUAGUUACGGAAACAUACCUCUGAAUUCCUUCCUUCAGCCCCAUAUAAGUAAGUACUCAUUGGCUAGAGUGGAGACUGUUUCAAGUGGGUGGGGUUUGUUUUGUUUUGUUUUGUUUCUGCAAGUAUAGAUAGAUCCCCUCUGAGGGUGCUCACUACUUGUAACGCCAGUUUUACUGUAUGUCAGCGUUCCUCUAGGUAGACGGGCAUAUACUUCUUUUAGACUAAUGUUUUUAGGGCUGUCUGUCAUCCAGUUUCCUUUUUCCUUCUGAAAACUUUUGGGUACCUGAGCUUCCGUGGGAGGCUCCACAUACCCAGAUACCUGGCAUCAGUGCUUCAUUAACAAUGAAAUAAUACCUGAUGGCUUGUUUUUGCAGGCCACCUCUUCAGACCAAGUGUCUGUGCAGUGAGGUGUAAGUCAUCCCAUAAAUGAACCUUCAGGAACAGUCAAAAAAAAAAAAAAGUAAAAAAGAUGAGCAAGUUGGUCAGUAGCUGUUUCUGAGUUUAUUCUUCCCAGUCACAGUGCUGUGUGCAAGUCUGUAAUUUUGUUUACAGUUUUAUGAGGCUACAUCUGUGGCUGGGGUUGUAGCUCAUGCAGAAGAGUGCUUGGCUAGCAUGCAUGAAGCCCUGAUUUCAAUCCCCAGUGUGUCACAAACUGGGCUUGUAGGCUUGGUGGUACACUCCUGUAGUCCCAGCACGCAGGAGCAAUAGUUCAAGUUUAUCUUUGAUUGCAUAUUAAGUUGGAGGCCAUCCUAGGAUAGCCAUAGCCUUCUGCAUCAGAGACUAGAGAUGGAAGUUACUCUGGUAUUUCACACCUAAAGCUUUCAUCUUCCUGACUUUUGUUUGGAGAAACAAACAAAACUCCCUGGAAUUAGCCGCUUGAUAAUCUUCAGGUCAAAGGAGUGGCUCAAAUGCAUUGUGUAUGGACUCCCACCUUUAACAAAAGGAUCUGUGAAAACGGGACGUUUCUAAAGACUAAGCAGUGAGGCUGGGAGAGCACGCAGUGGGUGGAAACAGGGAUGUGUUUUUCUUUGCUGGGAUCCUAGAAACUGUAUAAUUAGUAUUUUCCAAGUUCUCAGAACCACAGAUAAUGGAGCAGUUGUUGCUUUUUGACAUAGAUGUCAGGGAAGGGUCCAUCAUGGAGACCUAUUGUCUUAGAGGCCACCACUGCAUUAUAGUGAGGGAUUUGCUUUGCUGUAGCUUUGGUGGCUCUCUCCUUAGAAAACACCAAACUGGGCCUUUCCAGACUUUUCUGUAAGGAUUUAGGGAAAACACUGGUGACUUGGAAUGAAGGAAGAAUCUUGGCAUAGAUGGUUCUUGUUAAGCAUUCAUUUUGAUCAGGGGAGUAACAGGAAGCUUUGGUCUUUGCAGCAAUAGACUUGAUCUCUGAUGGUGGCUAGUUGUAAAUACUGCCCUUUUCAGUCCAGGAAUGAUCUCAUUGUUGAUGGGGACCUUGCAAACCUACAAGUGUCUUCUCACACCCAGAAACUAGGAACAUAGAGGGCUGGCAGUGUACUUGGGUGGAAAAGCACACAAAUCACAAACCUAGCCUGCCCCUGCCUUGCCCCCUCCAAAGACCACCACCAACAACAGCAAGCAUGGACUGGUGGGACCCUCUAGAAUAGAGACUGAAAGUUUCCGGGUGCCUUCUUAGCCCAGGACUCGCCUCCUCCUCUUUAAACAGAGAACAGAAUCACAGGCAGUUUACUUAGAGCUCUACUGUGAGUAAAUAGUAGUCUAGAAUGACUGUGGAGCGGGACCAUUUGCCAGAAGGCCUGCAUGACCAAAAGACUAUUUUAUUUUAGCUGGGCGUGGUGGCACACACACCUUUAAUCCCUGCACACCAGGAGGCGGGGCCAUCUCUGAGUUUGAGAUCAGCCUGGUCUAUAUCACAAGCUCCAGACCAAGAAAAAAAGUUCUUAUUUUGAUACAUGGCUUCUUAAGUAUAUUUUAAUAGGUUGAAUGGAUUAAUACUUCGACAACUCAUUCCUCUUAACUUACAUAUUUAUUUGACUAAAGUUGUUGUGUAGGUAUAUUUAUCACAUUUGACCUCUUGGUACAUAAAAAAUUCUAUAAAAAAUAAUUUUUUUAGGAACUAGAGAGAGAUGCUCAGCUGUUAAGAGCACUUACUGUUCUGUCAGAGAAACACAGAUCCGGUGCCCAGAACCCACAGCUCACCAAUGCCUGAGGAAUCUGAUGGCCCCUCCUGGCCUCAGUGGGCACAUACACAAAUAAAUAAAAUAACAUAUAUCAGGCAUGGAUCAUACAUUGGAAUUUCUGGUCAGCUUGGGCAAUAUAAGGCCCUGUCUCUAAAAAGAAAAAAAAAAAAAAUCAACCCAUCUUUAGUCAGGCCUGAGUUAUAAGGGAGACUAAGGUGUUUCCAAGUGUGACUCUUAAAAGUCACAACUAAAAGAGAACUGUUGAAGUUAUGUGUGCCUUUGAGAGUUGAAAGGGCUGUGGAACAUGAGCCAGAGACUUGAGCACUAGCUCUGCCUCAGGCAUUUCUUCUCCGGCUCAGCGACACGUAGUGAUGGUACCUGCUGCCCUCACCUACCUCACCAAGCUUUCUUGAGAAUCAGUCUGUUUGUGAGUAAGGCUUGACUUCCACAAAGGAAAAGCUACCCAGAAUUCAGAGUGUAGAGAAGGUUCUUUUCCAGUCGGCCUCUGUCAAAGUGUCCUCAUUGUGUGUCAGGUCGCUCCUGCCAACGUCCCACACAUGGGCACAUUUUUUUCUUUGUAAUAACCCCUAGCAAAAACAUAGUUUUCAAAAACCGAAUUCCUUUCGGUGGUGCUAAAGCAGUUGCAGUUGCAUUUUGAGUUAAUGGUGAAGCCGUCCGGCACUCAGAUUUUAACAUGGCCUGUCUCCAGGCACCUGUACUUCCUGCCUGCCUCAGCCGCUGCUCUGCAGACUUGCCCUGUGUGUUCCUUUCCCUUGGAGAAGAGGGUAGGUUCUGAGAAGAAAAGUGUGCUGAUUUCACUUGUCACUUUAUAGAACUGACCUUGGCUUUACUUUCAAAAUUCCAUCCACCAUUUAUCUAUAAUAGUUAUAGAUACAUAACAAGCCAGACACAGUGGGACACCCCUAGUCCCAGUAUGUAGGAGGCUGCCGCAGGCAGAUGACAAGUUUGAGGUAAGCCAAUGUUACUUAGUGAGACCCUUUCCCAGAAGUCAGAGAGAAGCUGCUGCAGUGAUACCAUAUUUGACCCGGUACCCUAUGGAGUGCAAGCAGGACCUUAUAUUUCAACAGGAAACCUAUUGGUUUCCUUCUAAGAUGGGGGCUCCUCUUUAUAGGAAAUUACAAAGGGCAUAUCGAUGCCACAACUAUAAAACAAUUCCUUUUUGCAAAAGUGUGUUGCUUUUGUUUUUGUUUGUAAAGAAAAUGGAUGUAUGUUAAAUAUACAGGGUAUGGAUGAACUUAGUGUUUAUUCUUAUAUCUUCUCUAUUACUGACCUCCCAGUCUUACAAGCAUUUGGGCCUUCCCAACUUCUUGAUAACAAAGCUGGUAUCUGUGGUUAGUUUAAUAGAACAAUUGGAAUUACAAGGUGAAACAUUCAGGGCAAAGAUUUAUACUUAAAAAUAAAAAAGCUGGGUGUGGUGACUCACACCUGUAAUCCCGGCAUUUGGAAGGCAGGGGCAGGAGGAUUGUCCCAAAUUCCAAGCCAGCCGUGGCUAUGGAGCAAGACCUUGUCUCAAAAGUAAAUAAAAAUGCCUUCAGUGUGUUGUGCGAUAGCUAACACUGAUUUAUCAGAACACUGUUAAACAGUUUUUACUGUAAUGUGUAACUUUAAUGUCUCUCUCAGUUAUGGACCCAUAAAAGUAUUACUGUAUCUUGUAAGUAAAUAUCAUUUAUGUGAACUAAUAUGUGGCUGCAUUUGUAGGCUGUGGAAAGUGGUGGUGUAUGUAUAUGUGUGUAUUUAUAAAUAGUUAUAACACUACAUGGAUUGAGUUUAAAUUCACAAGAUAAUGUGUUGUUUCAUGUUGGGAAGAGUAAAAUGGCAGUAUGACCAUUCCGUCGGAACCCUGCCCCUCUCUCUAGAUUCCCAAAACACACAGCAAGCGUUACUAAGGCUCCUGUUUAGACAAUUGCUGCUGCUUUUAAACCAAGAGUAAUGGAGGAAGCAUAACCUUUUUCUUAAAGGGAUCUUUCCAAGGAGUGAAACGUAGCCUUUUAAAUGUUACCUUUUAAUCACCUAGACCAUGUGUGCCUAUUUGUAUUGCAGAUGUGAACUUCUGUUUCAGGGUUCAUAACAGAAUGUUUUGAGACUGAGCUAUUACAUAAAUUCAAAGUAAUCUCCCCAACCCUCUUCUCAUACUCGCUGCUCUUGCCAAAUAUUCCUACUGACACCAGGGCACAACCAAGGAUGGGGCUCUGACCUCCUUCUUCUUCAUCUCUUCCCAAAGUAGCUCUGUCACAUGCCUAAGCUCACCUCAUAUUCUUUGUUGGCUUUUCAUAAGAAAGAACAAUUUACUGUAGUAUUUAGAGACCACAGCAUUUCAUAAUGUGUCUACCUGCCACCUUUUUACAUAUUUGGCUACAUGCUAACAUCAAUUAAGACUGUGUGGGUCUGAUCUGUAAGUUACUAUGGGACCAGAAAAGAUACAAAAUGAUGAACUUGGCUGCCAUAUUCAUGAAAAGGAAUUGUAACUCUGUUAGGAGUGAUGUGUGUGUGAUCACUGUGUCAUUGGACUCACCAAAUGUUGAACUCUAUCACUGUGUACUGAGGGCCAGGCUCUGAUUUGUCAUGUUAACUGCUAAAGAUGAUGUGUGAUUAUGAUAAGCAGAAAGCAAAUAAAGUUUUUAAUCAAAAAUGUUUGUCUUCACUAUUUGGUAUUAAAUUUUCUACUCGGGAUGGGGCUGGAGAGAUGGCUCAGAGGUUAAGAGCACCGACUGCUCUUCCAGAGGUCCUGAGUUCAAUUCCCAGCAAUCAUAUGGUGACUCAUAACCAUCCAUUAUGAGAUCUGGUGCCCUCUUCUGGUGUGCAGAAGCAGAAUGUUGUAUACAUGAUAGAUAAAUAAAUAAAUAAAUAAAUAAAUAAAUAAAUAAAAUUUCUACUUUGGACUAAAUCAUCUAACCCUAAAAAAUUAUUUGCAAAAAUUAUUUCACCUCCUGUGUGAAGUUGAGCUUGAAGAAGCUAGUUUUAAACAGUUUGGUCAUAUGGAACACUUACAUUAAAGAAGUGCUUAUGAUUCUUCCAAAGUCACACUGUCACCAAAAUGCCCUGUGACCAAACAAGAAGCAUUCUGUGUUGUUUGUUUUUACUCCUUCAUUUAAAAAAAUAAUGGUCUUAUUGUUGCUUAUCCUCAGUUUAAAAUGUAACUUCCACUGACACCUGCAAUAAAAUCAUAACUUUAAAAAGCCA
RNAcentral lists this long non-coding RNA (6503 nucleotides) under Cricetulus griseus (Chinese hamster). Its description in RNAcentral is "lncRNA (ENSCGRG00015041265.1)". Lineage: Eukaryota; Metazoa; Chordata; Mammalia; Rodentia; Cricetidae. The record is from RNAcentral.